This 84-nucleotide transfer RNA is filed under the name Sinorhizobium psoraleae. RNAcentral describes it as "tRNA-Thr". Lineage: Bacteria; Pseudomonadati; Pseudomonadota; Alphaproteobacteria; Hyphomicrobiales; Rhizobiaceae. The record is from RNAcentral.
GCCGUUCCUGCGUGUCGGCGCCGCGCACCUCGUUGGUGGCGAGGUGAUACGUGCCGCAGAAGGUCUUCGAGCGGCCGAUCGGCC